RNAcentral lists this ribosomal RNA (452 nucleotides) under uncultured bacterium. Its description in RNAcentral is "bacterial SSU rRNA". It matches the Rfam family "Bacterial small subunit ribosomal RNA", at positions 29 to 506 of the family's 1533-position model. The record is from RNAcentral.
ACGAACGCUAGCGGCGUGCCUAAGGUAUGCAAGUCGAACGGGGGGAGCAAUCCCCCAGUGGCGAACGGUCGAGUAACACGUAGACCACCUGCCUUCCAGUGGGGGAUAACAGCGGGAAACUGCUGCUAAUACCGCAUGUGGCGUCCCGAAGCCUUUCGGGAUGGCUAAAGGAGCAAUUCGCUGGGAGAUGGGUCUGCGGCCUAUCAGCUAGUUGGUGAGGUAACGGCCCACCAAGGCGACGACGGGUAGCUGGUCUGAGAGGAUGAUCAGCCGGACGGGGACUGAGACACGGCCCCGACUCCUUCGGGAGGCAGCAAUGAGGAAUAUUGCGCAAUGGGGGAAACCCUGACGCAGCGACGCCGCGUGGGUGAGGAAGUCCUUCGGGAUGUAAAGCCCUUUUUUCGGGGACGAUACAAGACGGUACCCGAAGAAUAAGCCCCGGCUAACUACGU